Molecule: non-coding RNA, 45 nt
Organism: Schistosoma mattheei
Lineage: Eukaryota; Metazoa; Platyhelminthes; Trematoda; Strigeidida; Schistosomatidae
Source: Rfam
AUACAGCUGACGAGUCCGAAAUAGGACGAAACGCACGUCCUAGAC